Molecule: long non-coding RNA, 897 nt
Filed under: Homo sapiens (human)
Lineage: Eukaryota; Metazoa; Chordata; Mammalia; Primates; Hominidae
Description: HSALNT0115736
Source: RNAcentral
CUCUGAGAUUGCACUGCUGAGCACGUAGCUGCGGCGGUCACAGGAACUCACAUGCCAAAGAACUGGGAAGAAUGUUUUAAAAACCUGGAAAGAACCGGUUUCCUUUUCUGCAGCCUAACAAAUACCUCCUUGAGGGAAGUAGGAAGCUUUCAGAACUCCCUCACUAUCCAGAGGCUUAUCAUUGUGUGAAGGAUCAGAGUUUGUCAAGGCAAAGAGAAUCAAAACUAUUUACUCAGGCUUGGAAUUGAUCAGGUGCUCGGGAGGCUCGGAGCAGGGGAGCGGCGGCUCCUGGACUUUAACCCCCGUGUUUGUGGAAGCAGUGACUAUGAUGAUGAUAGGAGAGCUGGCGCCCUCACGCGCUUGUCACCUGCUGCGGGCAUCAGUGAGCGCUUGCUGCCGCCUCUGAGAUAAGGAGGGCUCUGUAGAAACUCACCUGGGCCACCUCCACUCGGAAGCCCUCCUUUCUUUCCUGCUAGACAAGAAGCGCCUGGAGCAGCCGAGGGAACACACCUGGUGGCAACGCCUGGUUCCCACUUUCGAACCUCAGGAUUGAGAGAGGGAUGAACGCGGGAAGUCUGAGGACACACUCUGUCCUGCCCUUAACUGUGACUGUCCGAGCCACCUAGGGGGACACGUGGGAGGCAGUCCCAGGGAGGCUGUACUAGAGAGGUGCUGCCCCCAACAGAAGCCGGGAGUCCCUGCCUGGGCCCAAGCUCCUGCCAUUCUCUAAGUGAUGCAGAGAGGGCCCCACCGCCGGGAGGGGCUUUCUGGCACAGCUGUUCUCGCCCCUGCACUCUGAAGAAGAGUAGAUACCUAGAUACAGUAAGUAAAGGAAAAGAACUGAGCAUUUCUCUCCCUUUUUAGGAGGACCAUCAAUUUAUCUUGGUCAAAGAAGGG